Molecule: long non-coding RNA, 1079 nt
Organism: Vespa mandarinia (Asian giant hornet)
Lineage: Eukaryota; Metazoa; Arthropoda; Insecta; Hymenoptera; Vespidae
Source: RefSeq, a predicted model, not a curated record
AGAGAGAGAGAGAGAGAGAGAGAGAGAGAGAGAGAGAGAGAGAGAGAGAGAGAGAGAGAGAUCAAGAAAAACAUACUAUUAAAUAGAAAGUGGGGAAGGAAGAGAAAAAAGAUGGAGAACAGCGCUAAAAGAAAGAGAUAUUAGGGGAGGGGAUCGUAUCUUUGCGUGUAAAUUAGGAGCGAUCUUCGCACUUAAAUAGAUACGUAUUUUUUGAAAAGAAGUGCAAAUAAUUUGUAGCCCUAAUGCGACAACAAAGAGAGAGAAAGAGAGAGAGAGAGAGAGAGAGAGAGAGAGAGAGAGAGAGAGAAAUAAAAUAAACAAAAGCGUGUAUUAAUUUUUUUUCGGGUGAGACGAGCCUUUGUGGCCUUUCGCCAUUUAAAUAUUAGUCGUACCAACCGCAUUUAUAAUAGACGAGAAUGUUAUAAAUCGUAGCAAUGAAAAAACGGAGACAAAAAAAAGCAUUAAUAAAAAGAAUAAAAGGGAGAAGAAGUUGAUAUGAAUGAAGGGAUGAGAUGAUGGGAUGGGGUUGUGAGAACGGGAGAUACUUUAAAAGAUAAGCAAAGUUUUCCAAAGGUAGCUGCAGGUACUUAAACAAGAAAGAUAAUUAAACAAAAAAAUAAAAUAAAAUAAAAUAAAAUAAAAUAAAAUAAAAUAAAAUAAAAUAAAAUAAAUAUGAACCGCUUUACACAGAGGCCGUUAAGCGAUAACACUUAAGAGUUUUUGUAACGUAUAUUUGUUAAGAGACUACUGUUUUGUCACUCACAAACACCCUAACAGUAUUUGGAUCGUUGUACGUCACUUUAUUACCGAAUAAACAAACGGGCGAUAUGGUGGGUGGUGUGUAGCGUGAAGGAUUUAAAAAAAGGUGAAAGAAAGAAAAAAAUGACGAUGAUUAAAUUAGCAGGAUAUGUAUGUAUAAACAAACAAGAAAAAAAAACAAACAAACAAACGAAAAGAAAAAAAAGAAAAUAAAUAAAAAAGGGAAUCGCAAUAACCCAGAAACGGCCAUGCACUGCAAAAAAAACAACGUACAUUUAUUAAGCUACGUAUUGUCGUUUAGCACAAAUCUGUUAAAAGUA